CAUUCAGUUGGGCACUCUAGCAAGACUGCCGGUGACAAACCGGAGGAAGGUGGGGAUGACGUCAAAUCAUCAUGCCCCUUAUGACCUGGGCUACACACGUGCUACAAUGGGAAGUACAACGAGUUGCGAAGUCGCGAGGCUAAGCUAAUCUCUUAAAGCUUCUCUCAGUUCGGAUUGCAGGCUGCAACUCGCCUGCAUGAAGCCGGAAUCGCUAGUAAUCGCGGAUCAGCACGCCGCGGUGAAUACGUUCCCGGGCCUUGUACACACCGCCCGUCACACCACGAGAGUUUGUAACACCCGAAGUCGGUGAGGUAACCUUUUGGAGCCAGCCGCCUAAGGUGGGAUAGAUGAUUGGGGUGAAGUCGUAACAAGGUAGCCGUAUCGGAAGGUGCGGCUGGAUCACCUCCUUU
This 410-nucleotide ribosomal RNA is filed under the name Enterococcus faecium. Its description in RNAcentral is "bacterial SSU rRNA". It matches the Rfam family "Bacterial small subunit ribosomal RNA", at positions 1122 to 1533 of the family's 1533-position model. The record is from RNAcentral. RNAcentral also lists the same sequence under 2 other names. Lineage: Bacteria; Bacillati; Bacillota; Bacilli; Lactobacillales; Enterococcaceae.